Dipodomys ordii (Ord's kangaroo rat) is the source of this 964-nucleotide long non-coding RNA. RefSeq lists it as uncharacterized. The transcript is spliced from 3 exons. The record is from RefSeq and is a predicted model, not a curated record. NCBI's taxonomy places the organism in Eukaryota, Metazoa, Chordata, Mammalia, Rodentia, Heteromyidae.
GGCGGGCGCUCGCUCCCUCGCGCUCCUCACAGACUUGUGGGGAGCUAGCGCGGCCGAGGCGGGACGCGGGCGAGCGCGCCCCCGAGGGAAGCCGCUGGGUUCUCGGUCCCCGUCAGGCACGCGGUAGCGUUACCUGCCGCCCGCGCGCGCGGUCGGGAGCCACGUUCCGGCUCCCUGAGGGGCCUGCGCACUUCUCACGGCCAGACCGACGGACGCCACGGCGCAGCCACGUGUCCACGUGCGACCGGAUAGUGUCCACGUGAGAUGAUGUAGAGAGAAGGUCCUUGCCAGAUGAUGGUGCCCUGAUACUGAAUUUCCUGGCCUUCUAGAACCUUGCUCUAGUGGCUGUUCAGGACAAAAUGAGAAGCUGUGCCUGAGGGAGGAGUCAGCCAUGUCACAGUGUGCCAGGGCUUGGCUACUCUGGAACACACCAGAUUACCACCUCCUGCAGGAGAUGAAUUGCCAUCCUCUGUGCAAAUGUGCGGUGGCUUUGAGGUCAUUCAGUUUAACUUGAGAUGCUUCAAAAGGCACAAGGUACUGAAAGAAGGAAGGUGUUCUCAGCAGGAAGAGGGCAAGUUGGGAAAAUAAGCCUGUGUUGCUCCCAGAAUCCUCUAGGUGGUGCUGCUGUGACAGCUAUUAGUGGGAUUUUUUUAGCGUAAUGAUCACACCAAAUAUUUAACUUUAAGUGUUUUAUACUUAUAGUUAAUUGUUAAGAUAAUACUAUUGAUAAUAUAUACACCACAUUUACAUUAGAGCCUUAUAAGAACUAGCCUGCAGCCACAAGUUACAUGACAAAGCAAAUUUCAAGGUUUAGAAUACAUGUACUUCCUGGUUAGCAGUUAAUUAUAUUAAGUCGCAUGUGGGUAAAGUUUGCCACAUACAUAAAAAUCAACACUAUGAUGAACUCUCCCUUACCUGUACCAAGUGAGACAAAGCAGUGCUCUGUUCACAGGUGCCAAAUGAA